Molecule: long non-coding RNA, 1085 nt
Filed under: Fukomys damarensis (Damara mole-rat)
Lineage: Eukaryota; Metazoa; Chordata; Mammalia; Rodentia; Bathyergidae
Description: lncRNA (ENSFDAG00000024460.1)
Source: RNAcentral
AAAGUCCUCCUCAUAUCCACUGGCUCACUUCUGCAGGAAAAAAAUGACACAGAAGAAAGAAGAAAAUCAGAUGUCUUAGCACUAUAGGAGUGGCAGCAUGGCUCAGCUUUUGGAAACUGAUGCAGAAUGAACAACACAUGGAGAGAAACAAGUCUUGUAUGUUUAAUGACAUCUCUUAUUCUUGGAAUAAAUCCAUGCCCUCAGAUCUGCAGAAGGAAGGCUUCCAGCAGACCUCCGACAGCCCAGCUCUUUGUAGUCCUACCACUGCUCCAGACACAGCGUCAGCUCUGGUCACUGCCAUCUGCCUACUCCGUGAACAUCAUUUCUUGCUUUCCCGGGCUUCUCUUACCAAGAAGCUGAGCUUUCUUUUUCUGCACACACGGGAACCACAAUUGUCUAUGGUUGAAUAUUUACUCUUUUAGAAGGGAAUGUUUGUAAGAAUUUGUGAAAGAGCUAUGUACACAGCACACCUUGCAUACUUAAAGAAUACAUUUUUCUUUGCAGGCAGUGAGAACAUAGUACUUUGCUUGUACACUGAAUGAUAUUGGAAUUUGAGUCCAUAUCAGUCUUAGUUUAAAAGCAGAAUCCCCCAUCAUUCUUACUCUGAGAUGCAGUUUCAGAGGAAAGGAGUGUUGUUUCUCUUCAGUGUGAUUUGCAGCUACAAUAAAGAUGUUGGUAUGAGAUACCCUGGGAGAUGGCGAUAUGCUUUUUUGCCAGCAGCCGGGUUGAAGAUAUUUUUUUUUUCUGUGGGACUAUUUGCUUACAGCCGAAAUAAACUAGAAAAAUGAUGAACAUGCAGAAAGACUAGUUAUAAAAAUUAAUAAUGUCCACGGAGUUAUAGCUUGGUUGUUGAGUGUUCCCCAGAAAUUCAAGUGUUAAAAACUUACUCUCUGGAGUGAGGUAGUGGGAAGUGGUGGAAACUUCAAGCAGUGGGGCCUAGUAAGAGGUUUUAGAUCAUCAUGUGUACGAUCUUCAAGGGUUGGUGGAACCCUAGCCCCAUCCUCUUUUGCUCUUUCUUAUCCUGCCUAUACAGUGAAGUUUUUUUUUUUCCAUGUCACAUACUUUUGUCACGAUGUUCUAAAGAA